UUUUUUUCACUUUUAUAGAUAUGAAUCAUUUUUUUCUAUUUCUGAAAAUAUUGUAAUCGAUACCAUGCAAAUGAAACGACACAAGGAAUGUUUGUUCUUAAUUUCAAAUAAUUUACAUUGUUCAUACUGUGCAAGAAGCCAAGAACUAUACGAAAUGUAAAGCAAAAACAAAUUCGAUCUACCUUACUAUCAUCUCCUAAACGAAUUUUGGUAUAAACUACACCAAAAAGUAGAAAAAAAUUGGUAAUUUUACAAAAUAGAAAUAAUGUUCUUAGAAGACAAAAGAAUCGUUUUGAAAAACAAGUUAAUUCAUUAAAAAAAGAUUUACUUAACCUUCAAUCUAAGUAUUCUAAUAUUUCUCAAAAAACUAUUGAAGAGAAACUGGUUGAAAUUAACUGUCCUGUAAAUCAAAAAACAAUUGUUCAAGAAAUAUUUGCAGCAGCUAAAUUAACAUGUUAAUUUAAAAUAUCAUCAGAAUAUUAUAAUUUUAUUUUUUUUUUGUUUUUUAAACUAGGUUAAUAACUCUAAAGGUAGACGGUAUUCUGAUGAAUGGUUAAUACUUUGUAUGUUGUUUCAUAUAUGAUCCCCAAGUGGUUACAAUUUUUGCUUGAAGAACAAUAUAAUGCCAUUGCCUAAUGUUAGUACUAUAAGGCGUUAUCUCUCUCUAAUAGAUACAUCUUGUGGAUUUGAUAGACAAUUUGUUGCUUUAUUUAAAAAACACCUAGAAAAAAAAUCCACAAUACAAAAGCAUGGUAUUAUUCUUGUAGAUGAGAUAUAAGUAAGAGAAGCAUUAACUGUAUGCUCCAAAAGUCUUACUUAUAAAGGGCUAGUAGAUUUUGGUGAAGUUUGUAAAGCAAGUGAUAUAAAUGAAAAGGCAACAAGUUGCUUAGUAUUUAUGUUCCAGCCACUUCUUCUCAACCUGUAGCCGUAUUUGCAUCUAGAGGACCUGUAGUCGGCACAGAGUUAGCAAAACUUAUGUUGAAAUGUGUAAUUCUUUUAGAGCAAGCAGGUGCCAUUAUACAUGAAUUUGUCUCUGAUGGAGCUCAGACCAACAGAAAAAUGUGGUCUGAGCUUGGAAUAAGUGGCCAAGUUAAUUCCUUUAAAAAUUGGUUUCAACACCUUCUUCAUGAAAAUCGGAAAAUAUAUGCAUUUUCUGAUACACCUCAUCUAUUUAAGAAUGUGAGAAAUAAAUUAUACAAUGAUAAAAUAUUGAAGGUAAGUUUGUAUUAUCUAAUUACAUACUGAAACUCGUUUUUUGUCUAGUAUUAACAACUAGUCUAACAUUUAUUCAUUUAAAAUAUUAUUUUUGUCGUUCAUACCAGCUGAUGAAAGCCGGUAAAAGAAUUUCUAUGAAAUAAAAAAAAAAAUUAUAAAUCCCAAUAAAUUUUAGUCAAUGUCAAGCACUGUGAAAUUCGUAUUUAUUAUUCUACAUAGAUUUGCAUGUAUUUGUUCAUCGGUGUUAUAUAACUCAAUAAAGAAAAUAGCAAUGUCUAACUUUGUAUGUAAUUAUUUUAAAUAUUUAUUUAAUUAAUUAAUAUUAAUGUGUUCAUUUGUUAAAUUUGCAUGAUCAAUGGGACCUAUAUUUUGUACCAAGGUAUGUAUUUUAGAUAAUAAACAUAAAAAAAUGAAAUUAAUUAUUUCUACUAACCUUUCUUUAUGUAAAUUAAUGGUCAGUAUAUUCGUUGGAAUCACAUUAAUAUUUUAUACGAGCAAGAUAGCAAAUUACCAAGAAUUUUAAGAGUUUGUUCAAAAUUAUCCAGAAACCAUUUACAUCUUAGUUUAUCUGAUAAAAUGAGAGUACGGCUCGCUACUCAAGUACCUUUACAUUUUUUUUUAAAUUCAUCUAUAUAAAAAAUAAUAACUAAUACUUAAUAGGUACUUAAAUAUUUAAUAAAUAUACAAUACUCAUAGAUUUUUGGUUUAUCUUUAUACAUAAUUCAGGUAUUGGGUAAUUCUGUUGCUAAUGGCUUAAUGUUUUAUAAGAAAUAUGAUAUUCCUGGCUUAAAUGAUUGUGAUCCAACAUCUGAAUUUUGUCAGAAGUUGAACGAUUGUUUUGACACACUAAAUAGAAAAUUUGGUGCUGAGGGAUUAAGAGUUAACGGCAAAGAUUAUCAGUUUCUUCAAUCGUUUUUGGUUUGGUUGAACGAAUGGCAAAGAUAAUUGUAUGGCAAAGUAAAAAAAUCAGAAUUUUUAUCUGAUAGCACUGCUUAUGGGUUAAGAAUUACAAUUCAAUCUACUCUUGAUCUUUCUAGUUAUUUAAAAUCAUGCUAGAACUUUAAGUAUCUAUUAACAGGGAAAAUUAAUCAAGACAAACUUGAAAUGUUUUUUGGAACAAUUUGGCAAGCUGUUGGCCAAAAUGAUCAUCCUUCAACUCCUAAUUUUCUUCAAUUGUAUAAACUACUAUCUACUUACAGCAUUUUAAAGCCUCCCAAGAGUGGAAACUGUACUGUACAUGAUGAUUCUCCAUUAAAACCAAUUAUAUCUAUGAAAGAUUUGAAAGAUAUUUAUCAACCUCAAAAAUAUAACUUAGUAGAAAAUUUAAAAAUUAAAUUAAAUGAUAUUAUUGAAGAAAAAGAAUGGGAAUUCAAUGAUGUUGUUGAACAUGAUUAUACUAAACCAGAAAUUAUAGAUUUGUUUAAUUUAUUAUUUAACAGGUUACCUGUCAAAACAACUGUUGAAGUAUAUAAAUGAUUGUACAAUUUGUAAGUCAGCUUUUACCACUCCAGUGGUUUAUUCUCAGCAAUUGUCUGCAACACUGGUUAACAUGAAAACCAAGGGGCGAUUAAUUCAUCCAAACAUAUUUUUUUUCAACUUUAUAUAAAAAAUUGAAAAAAGUUGUAUGAAACAUUGUUCAUCAACUCACGUUUUGGAUCUUAUAAUUGAUGAUAUGAUAAAUGAAAAGCAUAUAACUAAUUUCCCCUGUGUCACUCACGGAGAAAUGCAUAUUUAUGCAUAUUUCAUAUUUUUCUAAAAAAAUUCAUUUUUUUUCUUUCUUAACCUGUAUAUUUCAACGAAUACUGAAUAUAAAACUUCAAAUGACCAACGAAGGUAUAUAUUGUCAUCGCCAUAGUCAAUUUUAUAAAUAUGCUCCGAUGACUUCAACUGAUGUUGAAAGAUCGUUUUCUCGAUAUAAAAAUCUUCUAUCGAAUAAUCGUCGUUCAUUUGAAAUAGAAAAUCUUAAGAAAAUAUUGGUGGUUCAAUGCAAUUCCUUAACAGCUCAAUAAGAUGUCAAAACGCCAACUAGUUAUACUUUUUUUUUAGUUAUAAAUAAUUUUUAUGUAUAUGAUUAAUUUGUAAAUAAUAUC
Long non-coding RNA from Myzus persicae (green peach aphid), 3305 nucleotides. RefSeq lists it as uncharacterized. The record is from RefSeq and is a predicted model, not a curated record. The transcript has 5 exons. NCBI's taxonomy places the organism in Eukaryota, Metazoa, Arthropoda, Insecta, Hemiptera, Aphididae.